GUCUCUCUGAUUAAGUGGUUCUCAACAGUUCAACAGUUCUAUGAGAAAAUUGUGAAAUGUUUAGGACCACUUGACCAGUC
Non-coding RNA from Takifugu rubripes (torafugu), 80 nucleotides. NCBI's taxonomy places the organism in Eukaryota, Metazoa, Chordata, Actinopteri, Tetraodontiformes, Tetraodontidae. The record is from Rfam.